UCGCCUCCGGCUCAUCUUUCUGCCGCCGCAACAUCUUGUAGCGGACGGCUUGCACGGUCAUUUUUACGCCAGUAUCCAAAGGCUCCACCUUCAAGGACAACAUCUUGGCGUUCUCCGCAUCGGCUGCGAUCUUCGCCUUCUUUUCUUGGAGCUCCACCUUCUUCUCCUCGAGCAUGGCCUUUUUCUCUUUGAUCAAGACCCUCUUCUCUUCGAGCGCUAGCUUCUUCUCAGUCGCCUUCAUCAACAGUUUGAACCUCUCCGUCUUUUUUUUCCUCCUUGAUGUCCGAGCGCUUGACGAAUGCCUCCUCUUUCUUGGACAAGAUGUCCUCGAACCUCUCCGUCAUCUUCACCAUUGCACCUUCUCG
RNAcentral lists this long non-coding RNA (365 nucleotides) under Triticum aestivum (bread wheat). RNAcentral's name for it is "long non-coding RNA (TAES_LNC019511)". The record is from RNAcentral. Lineage: Eukaryota; Viridiplantae; Streptophyta; Magnoliopsida; Poales; Poaceae.